AUAAUUUAAAAUAUAUAUAUUAUUUAUAUGGGCGUAUAUACGAUUCGAAAAAAGUUUUUACACGGUACAAUAUAAAAAUCCACCACGCAAAAGGAAAAUUUAAUAAACCUUUUAAUUGCCCUGCAUAUAAUAUUAUUAACGAGGAGCCGGAUUGUAUAAUAAAUAAUACCGACGAGUGGAAUAACCACGUUGCAAAAGUUUAUGGCGAAUAUAACGCCCCGGUUAUACCAAAUGCAAACCGGACUAGCUUUCGUCGCAAACGGAAAAAAAGUAAUAAUAAUUUACAAUUGGAAAAAAGGGAAAUUAAAUAUUGCGAACCAAAUUUGUCAAAAUUUCGAAAGGUAAAAAAAAAUAAUAAAAACCGAUUGGAAAAAUAUAAAAAUAAAAAGGUUUUGUGCCUUUUUUGCGGAUUAAUAACGUCUUUUGGACGCAUUUUUUCCGCGCAUUUAAAUAGGAAAUAUCGGGAACUGUUUAAAUCAAAAUUUUUUUAUUCCACGUAUUUGAAAUUGGGUCGCGAAAUAUAUAUUUUUUACCGAUAUAAUUGGAUACGUUAUUUGUCGGAAAAUUAUAGUGGGGAUAACGGUGCAUUAUUUGUCGAAAUUGGUAAAAAUAAAAAUUUAACGGCCACCAAAAGGGAAAUAAAAACAUUAAGCAUUUUGGAUAUUUUUAUCGAUCCCAUUUUGAAAUUUAAUUCUGUUUAAUAGAAGGAUUUAUAUUAUUGGUUUUUUUUUAAAUUUAUUUUUAAAAUAUAUAUAAUUAAUAACCAUAACGGUUUGGUAAAUUUUUCGUUGGAUUAAUAAUAGUAGCCGUAAUUACCGCCCCCGUUUUAAAAUACCAAUUUUAUUUUUAUUAAUAUUACGGAAUUACCGUACGUAUAUGCGUGGGUUUUGACCAAAAUAAUUGUUCGCGGCGAACUCCAAAUAUUUACAAUAAAUAUAUUUUUUCUUUUUCUUUUUUUCUUUUUUUUUGUUUUUUUUCCUUUAUUUUUUAUUUUUGCAAAAGGAUAAAAAUGGGAAUAUAUACGCCCCGCAAUAUUAUAUUAAAUAUAUUUAAAAAAGGGAUUUUUACCCCUAUUACAAAAAUAUUUAAAAAUGCCAUAAAUAUGGAAAAAAUAUGGAAAGAAUAUGGAAAAAAUAUGGAAAAAAUAUGGAAACAAUAUGGAAAAAACAUGGAAAAAACAUGGAAAAAAUAUGGAAAAAAUAUGGAAAAAACAUGGAAAAAAUAUGGAAAAAGCAUGGAAAGGGGUCCGUAUAAAUUGCAAUAUAUAUAAUAUUUUAUAACGAAACCCGCGCAAAAAUGCGUCCCUGGUCCGUUAGGUAUUUAACAUUCGUACCUUUUGGCGUUUUGUAACGAGGUUAAUUUGCAUACCAGGUAUAAUUUGCAACGGCUUUCAAACAUUACCCCACAAAAACACUGAAAUUUAAAAGCUAUUAUAAUAUAAAAAAACUAUAUUAAAUAUAUUUACAACUGUUAAUGUUUUGGAAAAUAAUUAACGUUGUAAAAUACAAUUUUCGAAUCCGUAACAGUAAAUUUUAAAUAUAAAAACCGGAAUAUAUUAACAACAGCUAUUUAUAUUUUAAUUAACCAGCCAUUUUUAUAUAACGCAGUUUUUAACCAAUAUUUAUUUUAAAAUGGAUUGCGAUUGAAAAAUUUGCAAUAAUUUCCAUAAAUCCUCCGAUUAAAAGGCAAAUUAUAGUUAAAUUCUUUUGUAAACGCUUUAACAAAUAAUUUGACACGUUUUUUGCAUUAGCAUUGGAAAAAAUACAGUCCGAAUAAACGUAUUUUGGAGGGUGUUUUUGAAAGGUGCCAUUAGGGCAAUUUGCAAAGCUGCAUUUGUAACCUGUCCAUUGUUAUAUAACCAAAAAACGAAAGGUAAAACUUAAUAAUAAUUUGGAUUUACGCAACCACUACCCAAAUUCCCGUAUUUUGUAACGUUAUUAUAUUGCGUUUUAAUUUUAACAGUUAUUUAAAUAUAUACGGUAUUACGAAAUACGAUGGCGUGGUAGGGGUAUAGCGCUGUGGCGCGCAGCGGCGCAUAGCGUAAUAGCGUAUGCAAUUUCAUUUUUUAAAUUGGGCGCUUAAUAUUAAUAUUAAUAUUAAUUUUAAUAUUAACGUUAAAAUAAACAGUUUCUUCCAAUUAGUUAACCGCCGUUAAAACGUUUUCGCAUUUUCGAUUUUUAUUUUAAUUAACGAAUAUUAAAUUCGCGUUUACCAGGAAAUUUAUAUAAAUUGUGCAAUAAUAAAAUAAAGAUUUUUGCUUUAAUUUAAUAUACGACGUUAAAAUUCGUUACCUGGAAAAUAAUACCACCAAAUAUUAAUUAUUUAAUUAAUAACCGAAAUUUAAAUUUAUUCCGAAAAAUUAUAACGUUCGAAUUUAAUGGAAUAAAAAUGGCCAUUUAUAUUAAAUAUAACGGUUUAACAAAAUAUUUCGUUACCGACGAAAAUUUUCAACCGAAUUAAAACGCGGAAACAAACGCGAAAAUAAUAAUUCCGCUAACCCAGAUUUCGAAUAAAAAAAAAUAUAAAUAUAAUAAUAAUUUAUCGUUUAAUUUUGUUUUAUUUUUAAUAUUUGGCAAUUUUAUAUUUUCCGCACCAAAUUUGGAUAUACUCCGAACCGAAUUACCGUUAAAAAACGGUUUUUUUAUAUAAAAUAAUUUUUCGAUUUGCGUUUUUAAUACCCCGGUUCUGGAUAAUAUUAAAUUUUCAAAACUGCGUUUUCCAAUUCCGAUAUUUUAUUUUUCGGUUUUUGUGGAAUUCUUUUAAUUUUAUUUUAUAUUAUUAAAAUCCGGUUCCCCAAUUAUUUCGCCGUUGCCGAAUUAUUAUUUUUUUGUGGAAAUUUUUGUAAAAAAUAAUAAUUUGGCCCAUUUGUUUUAAAUUUCGGCAAUAAAUACCGCGGAAUUUCCCCGUUUAUUUCCAAAUUCUUUUUUUUUAUUAUGUUCGAAUUUUGGUCCCCCGGAAAUUAAUUUUUCGGUCCAAUUUCCAAAUAUUUAUUUAAUACGCCGAUUUAUUUCGGCAAAUUUAACCAUUUCCGAACGUUUAUUCGAAUUAAAUUAUAUAAUUAAUAUAAUAAAUAUUUUUCCAAUAAACGGAAGGUCGAAAAAAAAUGGAUCCAAUAAAUAUUUAAUUUCGUUUGGUAAAUAUUUAAAAUAAUUUGUUUUAACGUAAUUUUAUAAUAAUUAAAAAUAAUACCAUUAAUUAUCGUUAAUAAUAUUAUUAAAAUAGUUUUUCCCUAAACGUAUAUAAUUUGAAAAAUUUAAAUUAUAACGGCGUUUAAUUUAAUAACGCAAUUUGGUAAUAUAAACCCUAUUAUAUCGUUUUUUUAAUACCGUUAUAAUAUAAAAUUAAAUUUUAUUAUAUUUUAAUAUUGCGAAAUAAAAUUAUCGACGCCCCGGCCGUAUUUUUUAUAUACAAAUUUAUAUCCGAAAAAUUAUUUUUUCGAUAAAUAAAACCUAAUUUUUAUUUUAUAAUUUGGACGGUUGCCGGGGCGUUUGUCGAUAAUAUAAUUUUAAAAAUCGAUUUUGUUUUUAACCAUUUUAUUAUAUAAUUUGGAAAAUGUUUUUUUAUUUCGAACCCGGAUUAAUUUUGCAAAUUACCAUUUUAUUUUUUAUUUUACCACAUUUUGAAAAUAUUUGUAAUUAAUUUUUCGUUAAUAAAAAUAAUUUUUGGUAUUAUAUUAUAUAUAUCGCGUAUUAAACCACCGCAAUUAAUUAUAAAAACGUGCAUUCCAAUUUUAAACAAAACAAUUAA
RNAcentral lists this small RNA (3747 nucleotides) under Pyricularia oryzae. RNAcentral describes it as "Magnaporthe oryzae sRNA M_BR32_EuGene_00080821". The record is from RNAcentral. Lineage: Eukaryota; Fungi; Ascomycota; Sordariomycetes; Magnaporthales; Pyriculariaceae.